CAAAACUGAAAAGUGAAAGAAGAAAACAGCAAAGUUAGUUGACAUUUAUAUGGCAGCGGAAGAGCGGUUUGACAACAUGGUGUCUGACAUGUAAGUGGGUAUGAAGCAAAGGUGAGUCAUUUAAUUCCUCCACACAGAAAUAAUUGCACCCAUUGAUAUUCACUGAAGUUUGCUGUACAUAUAUGGAGACCAAACAGUGGAUGUGAGCACAGCGAGGUGAUGACUGGCACAUUUCAGCAGCUGUGACAGCAGCAUGAAUUAUAAGCCAUAUUCCAGACAGCCAUAAAAAU
Molecule: long non-coding RNA, 290 nt
Filed under: Gallus gallus (chicken)
Lineage: Eukaryota; Metazoa; Chordata; Aves; Galliformes; Phasianidae
Source: RNAcentral